GAUGAACGCUGGCGGCGUGCCUAAUACAUGCAAGUCGAGCGAACAGAUGAGGAGCUUGCUCCUCUGACGUUAGCGGCGGACGGGUGAGUAACACGUGGAUAACCUACCUAUAAGACUGGGAUAACUUCGGGAAACCGGAGCUAAUACCGGAUAAUAUAUUGAACCGCAUGGUUCAAUAGUGAAAGACGGUUUUGCUGUCACUUAUAGAUGGAUCCGCGCCGCAUUAGCUAGUUGGUAAGGUAACGGCUUACCAAGGCAACGAUGCGUAGCCGACCUGAGAGGGUGAUCGGCCACACUGGAACUGAGACACGGUCCGGACUCCUACGGGAGGCAGCAGUAGGGAAUCUUCCGCAAUGGGCGAAAGCCUGACGGAGCAACGCCGCGUGAGUGAUGAAGGUCUUCGGAUCGUAAAACUCUGUUAUUAGGGAAGAACAAAUGUGUAAGUAACUAUGCACGUCUUGACGGUACCUAAUCAGAAAGCCACGGCUAACUACGU
RNAcentral lists this ribosomal RNA (496 nucleotides) under uncultured bacterium. RNAcentral describes it as "partial 16S ribosomal RNA". It matches the Rfam family "Bacterial small subunit ribosomal RNA", at positions 28 to 506 of the family's 1533-position model. The record is from RNAcentral.